GGUUUACUAUUUUUUUUUUAAUAUUGGAAAACUUACUAACUGUGAAUAUGAGAAAGACAAAAGAAAGUAAGUCCUCUCGCUAGACAUCCUAGCGCAAUUCAUUUUGAAACAAACAAGGAAACCUCAAACUACUGUAUUUAGGUGUCUGUACUGCAAACAUAUGCCUCAUGACAAUGUCAUACAUCAAUCGCUCUCUGUAAGCAGGCAUUGACUUAAAGGGAUUGUCUGUUGUCUUCUCACGGUUGUAUAUAUCAGGUAAAAUUGUUCCAAAGAGCCAUGUGUUGUGUAAUGGGGAACCACUUUGAUACUGAAAUACUAAUUUGUACUCUCGUUACUAUUAACUGGUAAUAGUGUAAUGCCACAGUAAUACUGUUCCGAUUGAAAAUUGUUGCGUCCCUUUUUGUAGAACAUUUAUAUUUCCAUAUAAGGAUGCGGUAUGUUCUUUCCCCGUGUACCCUAGGAUGAAGCUGUUUUUGUGCUUUUUCUUUAUCAUUGGCCCUCAUCCCAAGCACUUUAUGCUGUCUGUAAUGGAUCUAUUUUUGCACUGGAAUAUCUGAGAUUUGCAAAACUAGACAAAAGUUUCAGAGCAGAUUUCUAAGUUAAAUAAUUUUCAUUAAAAGAAAAAAACUGAAAAAAAUUGUAUUGUGAAUAACUUUAUACGAAGUGUUUUUAAAAGCCUGUUUCUAUGUUAUGAGUCACAAAAUAAAGCUGUGACAGUC
Molecule: long non-coding RNA, 719 nt
Filed under: Rattus norvegicus (Norway rat)
Lineage: Eukaryota; Metazoa; Chordata; Mammalia; Rodentia; Muridae
Description: long non-coding RNA NONRATT023239
Source: RNAcentral